CAGAACGAACGCUGGCGGUGGGCUUGACACAUGCAAGUUGAACGCACUUUCUUCGGAAAGUGAGUGGCGAAAGGGUGAGUAAUACAUAGAUUAUCUACCUACAGGAGGGGCAUAACGCUGGGAAACCAGCGCUAAUUCCGCAUAAUGAUCCGCAAGGAAAAAGAUUUUAUCGCCUGUAGAUGAGUCUAUGCCAGAUUAGAUUGUCGGUGAGGUAAUGGCUUACCGAGUCUUUGAUCUGUAGCUGGUCUGAGAGGAUGAUCAGCCACACUGGGACUGAGAUACGGCCCAGACUUCUACGGAAGGCAGCAGUGAGGAAUAUUGGACAAUGGGCGAAAGCCUGAUCCAGCCAUACCGCGUGAGUGACGACAGCCUUUGGGUUGUAAAGCUCUUUCAGUAGGGAAGAUUAUGACGGUACCUACAGAAGAAGCACCGGCUAAUUCCGUGCCAGCAGCCGCGGUAAUACGGAAGGUGCUAGCGUUGUUCGGAAUUACUGGGCGUAAAGGGUGUGUAGGCGGAUCUGUAAGUCAGCAGUGAAAUCCCCAAGCUCAACUUGGGAACUACUGCAGAUACUGCAGGUCUGGAGUAUGAUAGAGGAUAGCGGAAUACCCAGUGUAAAGGUGAAAUUUGUUGAUAUUGGGUGGAACACCGAAUGCGAAGGCAGCUAUCUGGAUCAUUACUGACGCUGAGACACUAAAGCGUGGGGAGCAAACAGGAUUAGAUACCCUGGUAGUCCACGCCCUAAACGAUGUGUGCUAACUAUCGGAGUCCUAAGGGCUUCGGUCGUGAAGCUUACGCGUUAAGCACACCGCCU
RNAcentral lists this ribosomal RNA (811 nucleotides) under uncultured Rickettsiales bacterium. RNAcentral describes it as "partial 16S rRNA". It matches the Rfam family "Bacterial small subunit ribosomal RNA", at positions 25 to 874 of the family's 1533-position model. The record is from RNAcentral. Lineage: Bacteria; Pseudomonadati; Pseudomonadota; Alphaproteobacteria; Rickettsiales.